RNAcentral lists this ribosomal RNA (1260 nucleotides) under Streptomyces sp. JS01. RNAcentral's name for it is "bacterial LSU rRNA". It matches the Rfam family "Bacterial large subunit ribosomal RNA", at positions 1696 to 2925 of the family's 2925-position model. Lineage: Bacteria; Bacillati; Actinomycetota; Actinomycetes; Kitasatosporales; Streptomycetaceae. The record is from RNAcentral.
GAACUAUGGUUAAGGAACUCGGCAAAAUGCCCCCGUAACUUCGGGAGAAGGGGGGCCAUCACUGGUGAUAGCACUUGCUGCUUGAGCUGGGGGUGGCCGCAGAGACCAGCGAGAAGCGACUGUUUACUAAAAACACAGGUCCGUGCGAAGCCGUAAGGCGAUGUAUACGGACUGACGCCUGCCCGGUGCUGGAACGUUAAGGGGACCGGUUAGCUGCCUUUCGGGGUGGCGAAGCUGAGAACUUAAGCGCCAGUAAACGGCGGUGGUAACUAUAACCAUCCUAAGGUAGCGAAAUUCCUUGUCGGGUAAGUUCCGACCUGCACGAAUGGCGUAACGACUUCUCGACUGUCUCAACCAUAGGCCCGGUGAAAUUGCACUACGAGUAAAGAUGCUCGUUUCGCGCAGCAGGACGGAAAGACCCCGGGACCUUUACUAUAGUUUGAUAUUGGUGUUCGGUUCGGCUUGUGUAGGAUAGGUGGGAGACUGUGAAGCGGCCACGCCAGUGGUUGUGGAGUCGUCGUUGAAAUACCACUCUGGUCGUGCUGGAUGUCUAACCUGGGUCCGUGAUCCGGAUCAGGGACAGUGUCUGAUGGGUAGUUUAACUGGGGCGGUUGCCUCCUAAAGAGUAACGGAGGCGCCCAAAGGUUCCCUCAGCCUGGUUGGUAAUCAGGUGUUGAGUGUAAGUGCACAAGGGAGCUUGACUGUGAGACCGACGGGUCGAGCAGGGACGAAAGUCGGGACUAGUGAUCCGGCAGUGGCUUGUGGAAGCGCUGUCGCUCAACGGAUAAAAGGUACCCCGGGGAUAACAGGCUGAUCUUCCCCAAGAGUCCAUAUCGACGGGAUGGUUUGGCACCUCGAUGUCGGCUCGUCGCAUCCUGGGGCUGGAGUCGGUCCCAAGGGUUGGGCUGUUCGCCCAUUAAAGCGGUACGCGAGCUGGGUUUAGAACGUCGUGAGACAGUUCGGUCCCUAUCCGCUGUGCGCGUAGGAAUAUUGAGAAGGGCUGUCCCUAGUACGAGAGGACCGGGACGGACGAACCUCUGGUGUGCCAGUUGUCCUGCCAAGGGCAUGGCUGGUUGGCUACGUUCGGAAAGGAUAACCGCUGAAAGCAUCUAAGCGGGAAGCCUGCUUCGAGAUGAGUAUUCCCACCCUCUUGAGGGGUUAAGGCUCCCAGUAGACGACUGGGUUGAUAGGCCAGAUGUGGAAGCCCGGUAACGGGUGGAGCUGACUGGUACUAAUAGGCCGAGGGCUUGUCCUCAGUUG